AUUGAACGCUGGCGGCAGGCCUAACACAUGCAAGUCGAGCGGAUGAAGGGUGCUUGUUUGUGGAUUUAGCGGCGGACGGGUGUGUAAUGCCUAUGAAUCUGCUUGGCUGUGGGGGAUAAUGUCCGGAAACGGGCGCUAAUACUGCCUGCGUCCUGAGGGAGCAAGUGGGUGAUCUUUGGAACUGUUGCUAUCAUGUGAGUGUAGGUCGGGUUAGCUAGUUGGUGGGUUAAAGGCUUUCCAAGCCGACGAUCCGUAACUGGACUGAGAGGAUGAUCAGUCACACUGGAGCGGAGACACGGUCCAGACUCCUAAGAGAGGCAGCAGUGGGGAAUAUUGGGCAAUGGUCGAGAGCCUGAUCCAGCCAGGCGGCGUGUGUUAAGAAAGUCUUCGGAUUGGGAAGCACGUUAAGGUGGGGGAAAGGGCAGUAAGUUAAUACCUAGCUGUAUUGACGGUACCAACAGAAUAAGCACCGGUUAACUUCGUG
This 484-nucleotide ribosomal RNA is filed under the name uncultured bacterium. RNAcentral describes it as "partial 16S ribosomal RNA". It matches the Rfam family "Bacterial small subunit ribosomal RNA", at positions 30 to 507 of the family's 1533-position model. The record is from RNAcentral.